This is a long non-coding RNA of Solanum dulcamara, 658 nucleotides long. RefSeq lists it as uncharacterized. The transcript has 2 exons. The record is from RefSeq and is a predicted model, not a curated record. Lineage: Eukaryota; Viridiplantae; Streptophyta; Magnoliopsida; Solanales; Solanaceae.
UUUAAGGAGUGCCGGGCCUUAUUUUUUUCUUCUCUCUCUUUACAUGUGUACAUAAAUGCAAUGAAAACCUUGUUCACGAUUAGGCAUCUACCAAACUCACUGUGAGUUACUCACUCCACCUACUAACAAGUGUUACAAUAUUGCAAAUAAUUUAGCAUUUAUCCAUUUAUACAACAUCCAAGUUCCUUGUAUCUCAUACUUUUUUGGCAAUGAAAAGUGGUACCAGAGUAAGAAAAUCCAUAACAGUAGCAGUUCUUCCUGUGGCCUUCCUAUUUCUGCUUUCUUUUGUAGCUUGUACAGGACCAUUGAGGUGGAUUCUUCUAUCAAGCUAUCUCAUCUACUACCUAUCUUUGUCUCUCUGGAUUUUGGCUGCAUUGCAUACUACAUGACAUUCAAUCCAUAUACCAUAAUGUAGGAACCAAAAUGAGGGAUUUUCCAUCAUUUAGUGUCUCUAUUUACUUGGUUUUGUUAUCGAGCUAUCGAUCUCUUACUUGUUUGUUUUCCUUUCACCUCUUUGAAAGAAUCAACAAUUUCGUUGUGUACUGAAGCAUAAAGAGGAUAAUGUGUUAUAUGCAUCUCCAUAUCACACCUACUCAUUUGGUUGGGUUUUCAUGUAGUAUUGAGUAAGUUCAAGUUGAAGUGGCCGAGUUUUGUUUCA